GUGCUUUCCUUGUCAGUACAUGUGCUAAAAUUGGAAUGAUAGAGAGAAGGUUAAAAUGGCCUCUGAGCAAGUAUGACACACUAUUUCAUGAAGCAUUCCUUAUUUAA
Manis pentadactyla (Chinese pangolin) is the source of this 107-nucleotide small nuclear RNA. The record is from RefSeq and is a predicted model, not a curated record. Lineage: Eukaryota; Metazoa; Chordata; Mammalia; Pholidota; Manidae.